Molecule: long non-coding RNA, 396 nt
Filed under: Falco tinnunculus (common kestrel)
Lineage: Eukaryota; Metazoa; Chordata; Aves; Falconiformes; Falconidae
Description: lncRNA (ENSFTIG00000006165.1)
Source: RNAcentral
CUCGCCUGAAAACCCUCUCUGCAUCAUUAUUUUUGCUUGCACUGUCCAGACUGAAAUUUGUGCAGAGCUCCCAGAAGAAAUACCGCUGAAUUCAGAAGUAGUCUAUUUAAGCUGCGUGGUGUUUAAAAAUUGCUGGAAGAGGUUAAGAAUGCAGGUACUGAGCAGAUAGUGGUUCUGUGUGUCAGCAUUUCCCUGGUGACUCUCAGCUUUUGCAGAAUUUAUGUUUUGACUAAAAAGAUGUAAUUCUUUUAUAGGUAAAAAAGGUAAAAUAUUUACGUGUAUACUGACUCCACACAGUCCUGAUCAGCGCCAAGAAAACUAUACUCUGCGUCUGAGGCGAAAUGUAGACUGUAUUAAUGAGUUCAUUAAUUAUGACAUAAUAGUCGCAACUUCUAA